RNA transcript from Quercus lobata, 3138 nucleotides. RefSeq lists it as uncharacterized. NCBI's taxonomy places the organism in Eukaryota, Viridiplantae, Streptophyta, Magnoliopsida, Fagales, Fagaceae. The transcript is spliced from 10 exons. The record is from RefSeq and is a predicted model, not a curated record.
AAUUCAAGAUGGAUUAGAUUCUUGGAUGCAGCCCGAUUACUUCCCAGUAUUGAUGACUAUGUAUCUUUCUUAUACUGGUAUUGUUGCCAUCCCAGAAAGUAUUAGUAGAUUUACUAGAUUACUAUAUCUUGAAAUUGAAAAUUGCAAAAAGCUUCGGGAAAUUCCGAGACUUCCACAAUCUAUAAGAACUGUAAUGGCAAUGAAUUGCGAACAGCUGGAUACACAAUCAUCAAGCAGAUUAUUGAAUCAGUUUGGAGAAAUUCUAGAGAUUCUAUCAAAUACAAUCGCUGAAGCUGCAACAAGCUUUGAUUCCAAAUGGGAAAUUGAGAAGGAUCUUUCUCUUAUACUACCAGUAACUGAGAUUCCAAAGUGGUUGAAAUUCAAUCAUCAGAGUGUUGGAAAUCCUGUAUCAAUCUUGGUCGGUCCCAAAUUUUCAAAUUUGGUUGUUUGUAUUGCUUUUCCAUCGAAGGAUGUGCCCAACUAUAUAUGGGACGAGUGGGAUGUUUACAUUUACAUUUACAUUUCCAUCAAUGGUAAAAGACAAUUGAUAAGCAAUAAGCUGUGGGAGAAGAGUAAUUAUGACCAUGUAUGGUUAAUGUAUUGUAAAGUGAAUAUAUCAAAUCCAUCUGAAGAGAAUUGCAUUGAGAUUAAGGUUAAGGUUAUACUUGGAGAGGAUGAAUCUAUUUCACUAAAUAGAUUGAGGAUUUAUGUAGAAUGCAUCUGUUGUCCUCAGAAACCCAAUGCAUCUAUGGAUCGAUGUGCUUUCAACAAUGGGGAAGAAGAUUCAGGCCGUGUUGGAAUCCGACGCCGACUGCGAAGAAGAAACCAUCGACUGACCCAUGCUAGACGUCCCCAAAAACACUACCUUGGAUGGCUUCGAGUUCGAUACCAACUCUGGAAACCAAGCUCCAAACCCUGGAGACGGAUAAUUACCAAUGGGUUUCAUGAUCAGGGUUCAUCUUCAAUCCUCAAUACCUUUCUCAAUGAUGAUACCAAUGCCAAUCUGUAUCCACCAUCAAAGAAGACAAAAACACAACUUUGAAGAGAAGGGAGCUAAAGUGAAGUUGACAGAAUUGGGAAGAUAUACUCAAGCUUCCUCUGCUUCAGAACUUGACUAAGGUGAAACCAAGUGACCCUGAUGUUUUCCAUUUGCUUGGAGAAGUCAAAUACGAAUUCAAAGGGAGAAAAAUGAUGGAGAAAGAGAUAAAGAGGGCUGUCCUGCUUCAUUCUUGUUAGAUAGCUGUGGAAGCAUAUUCAAUGAGAAGAGCUAGUGAAGGAAUUCUACCUAUGGCUAGAAGUGUUAGAAACAAUGGAGCUAUUGCAAGAGAAUAGUCGGCUAGUAGUGCUAGAAAGAAUGGAGCAAUUGCAAGAGAAGAGUCUACUGGAAGUUCUAGAAAGAAUGGAGCAAUUACAAGAGAAGAGUCAGAUGGAAGUGCUAGAAACGAUGGAGCUAUUGCAAGGGAAGAGUUAGCUAGAAGUGCUAAAAUUUAUGGAGCUAUUCCAAGAGAAGAGUCAGUUGGAAAUGCUAGAAAUUAUGGAGCAAUUACAAGAGAAGAGUCUGGAACAAGUGAAAGUGGUGGCUCAUGAGUUGGAAAUAAGAAAGGGCGAUGGGCUACAUGGAAUCUAAAUCCAGCAAAACUUUUUAUAAAGGAAAGGUUCCCAAUCCUAUGGAAAAAGGGAAGACUAGUAGGGAAAUACUCUACAGAUUCAAAUGGAGUGUACUGCCCUUGUUGGCGGAUUAGUAUGGUACCUUUACAAGUCAAAGAUUGGAGAGAGGUGCCUCAUCAAAACAAAAGAAUGCUAUUUGAUUAUAUAUUGGUGCGUUAUAUAAAAGUACUUUGAAAUAAAAGUUUACUUUAUAAUGAACAAAUGUAAUCCUUAUUAGUUUAAAUGCUUUGUACAUCCUAGUAUUAUUUUAAAACGCUCUAUGAAUUCCCAUAGGAGGGGUUGAUUCCUACCCACUAGUUGAAUCAAUAUGGCUGGUUCAGGUGUUUUCAUGUUGAGAUAGGGUGCUUAAGGCUGGCUAAUACAGAUGCAUUUGUGACAGCUUUAAAAGCAAAGCAAAAGUACACACCAAGAAUUUGCAUUUGAUUGUGCACUAGAAGUUGUAAGCAUCACAUGCUUUAUAAUUUUGAUUACAGUUUAUUGCAUUUGAAUGGCUCUUAACUUUUUCGUAAUUCUUGUUUAGAUGGUGAUAAUUGUAAUUGAUCCUCAUAAAUGACUGAUUUUGUCAUCAUCAUUCAGAUGAUCUUUCUAGCUUGUCUUUCAAAUACUAUAUGGGCCAUUUAUCUUCUCUUGAUCCUUUGCACAUUUAUUUUUUUAAAGGAAUAUCAUGGAUCAACUAUUUAUUAAUGGGACCACGAUGGGUUUGCCUUAUUUAAUGGCAUGACAUCUAUGUGAGUGUUUGAUUUUAAUGUUUCAGGUAUCAAGGAAAAAAAAAUGAAAGUAAAGAAUCUGAUUUUAGCAGUUCAGACAAGUUUCUUAGCUGAUUUAUACCUGGAUGGUGGUGUGGAUCUUUCAAUUUCAUCCAAUUCUAAGUUCUAACACAAAAACCCAUUUCAGAUUUCUUGACUUGGAGAGGCUAAAUGGGAUUGAGCAGUAUUGCCCUUUCUCCACAUAGCUUAGCAGCACCUUGUGGCAGAGGGUGGAAAAGUUGAAAUGGCAGCUGCUUGUGGGAUGGUGGCUGGGUAUGAUGGUUUUAGCGUAGGGGUAGAGAUGUUGAUUGAUGUAGGCAUAAAAGCAUGGAGAAAUCGGACAUUCAUGGAGGUCUAAUAAGCUCAGAAGAAGAUAUUGGGCACUCCAUCAAACUGUAAGACAAGAGUCAAGACCUGUGUGGUUGCUAGAGGGAGGUUCAAGAACUAUUGUUUUUUUAUAAAGUCAAGACCUGUGAGGUUCUUAAUUCUUAGUGAUAUUCUUUGUUUUGGAAGUCAUAAGUUUGCCGCAAUUUGCUUAGAUUCUUGUAACAAUGAGAUGGCUAUUUGUUGUGUUCCUUGCCAAUCAGGGCACAAAAGUUUGGUUGAUCUAUGCUUUUAAAUCAAACAGGUCUAUGCUAGUGCUUGCCACCUUCUAUUUAGUCAUGUUUUGUAAGGUCUUUUUAAAAAAUCUUUCAUAAAUUGGAAGGUCUUCUUUUUUCUGUUU